AGAGUUUGAUCCUGGCUCAGAUUGAACGCUUGCGGCAUGGCUAAAGCAUGCAAGUCGUACGCGAAACCGGCUUCGGCCGGGAGUAGAGUGGCGAACGGGCGAGGAAUGCGUUUCUAACGUGCCCCAAGGUCGAGGAUAGCUCGGGGAAACCCGGGGUAAUACUCGAUGACCCCCAUGGAUCGCAUGGUUCGUGGGGCAAAGGCUUGCUGCCUUGGGAUCGGGAAACGCCCUAUCAGGUUGUUGGUGAGGUAACGGCUCACCAAGCCUAAGACGGGUAGCGGGUGUGAGAGCAUGACCCGCCGCAUCGGGACUGAGACACUGCCCGGACUCCUACGGGAGGCUGCAGCAACGGAUAUUGGGCAAUGAGCGAAAGCUUGACCCAGCAAUGCCGCGUGCAGGAGGAAGCCCCUCGGGGUGUAAACUGCUGUCAGGGUUUAGGAAGUUCUGACCAAACCCAAAGGAAGGGCCGGCUAACUUCGUGCCAGCAGCCGCGGUAAUACGAAGGGCCCAAGCGUUAAUCGGAAUCACUGGGCUUAAAGGGUGCGCAGGCGGAAUGGUCAGUGUCUUGUGAAAUCCCACGGCUCAACCGUGGAACUGCAGGGCAUACUGCCAUUCUGGAGGCCGGUAGAGGCCGCCGGAACUCUAGGUGUAGCGGUGAAAUGCGUAGAUAUCUAGAGGAACGCCAAAGACGAAGGUAGGCGGCUGGGCCGGUUCUGACGCUCAGGCACGAAAGCGUGGGGAGCAAACAGGAUUAGAUACCCUGGUAGUCCACGCGUAAACGUUGUGCACUAGGUGCUGGAGGUUCUGACACCAUCAGCGCCGAAGCGAAAGUGAUUAGUGCACCGCCUGGGGAGUACGGUCGCAAGGCUAAAACUCGAAGGAAUUGACGGGGGCUCACACAAGCGGUGGAGCAUGUGGCUUAAUUCGAGGCAACGCGAAGAACCUUAUCCUGGGCUUGACAUGCAUGGAUUAACGCUGGGAAACCAGCGCCACACUCUUUGAGUGGAACAUGCACAGGUGCUGCAUGGCUGUCGUCAGCUCGUGCUGUGAAGUGUUGGGUUAAGUCCCUUAACGAGCGAAACCCCUGUCGCUAGUUACCAUCAGGUAAUGCUGGGGACUCUAGCGAGACUGCCGGUGUCAAACCGGAGGAAGGCGGGGAUGACGUCAAGUCCUCAUGGCCUUUAUGCCCAGGGCUGCACACGUGCUACAAUGGCGCCGACAGAGCGAAGCAAAACCGCGAGGUAGAGCAAAUCGCAAAAAAGGUGCCCCAGUUCGGAUUGCAGUCUGCAACUCGACUGCAUGAAGCCGGAAUCGCUAGUAAUCGCGUAUCAGCAACGACGCGGUGAAUACGUUCCUGAGCCUUGUACACACCGCCCGUCAAGUCAUGGAAGCCGGGAGUACCCGAAGUCGCACCGAUUCAGGUGUGCCGAUGGUAAGCUCGGUGACUGGGACUAAGUCGUAACAAGG
This 1467-nucleotide ribosomal RNA is filed under the name uncultured organism. RNAcentral's name for it is "bacterial SSU rRNA". It matches the Rfam family "Bacterial small subunit ribosomal RNA". The record is from RNAcentral.